Molecule: long non-coding RNA, 1662 nt
Filed under: Mus musculus (house mouse)
Lineage: Eukaryota; Metazoa; Chordata; Mammalia; Rodentia; Muridae
Description: long non-coding RNA chr9:96012153-96013815
Source: RNAcentral
UGCACACACUAAUCUCUUAUCUCUCUAUUUUGCUAUUGCAAAGCAGCAGACUUUAACCUAAUUUAUCCAUUUUAAGUAAGUGGUAUAAUAGAAGUGGGUUGGUUAUAUUGGUAUUUUUAAAAAAACUUUAAUAUCUCUUAAUUUGCAUUUUAUUAAUGAUUCCAUGAUAACAUACUUUCUUUUUUGAAUUAAUAGAAAAAUCAGUUAAGACUUGUGCUCAAGAGCCAUUCCUACCACAUUGAACUCACAUUAAGACUCUUUUUCAGUAUUUUAAGUUUUUUAGUGUCAUUUCAUCAUUGGUGAGCCAAUAAUAAAAUCCUACCUACCUAACAAGUUAUGAUCAUCAGUAUGAUCACCUGGACAAAACAUGUUCUCUUCAGGCACUCCUGAAAAACUCCUGGGAGUGUUUCUCAGUCAAUAGAGUAUUUUCCUAGGAUACACAAAACCCUGAUUUUAUCCCAGCACCACAUAAAAGCCAACUAUGGUGAUGCACGCCUAUAAUCCCAGCACUCCAGAAGAAAAGACAGCAGAAUGGGAUGUUGAAAUUAUCCUGUAUUUGUCAGGCAUGAUGGGGUGUACCUUUGGUCCCAGCAGAGAUAGGUAGACUCUGAGUCCGAGGCCAUCCUGGUCUGUCUACAGAGUGAGUUCCAAAAAGUAAGGCCUGUAAGGAGAAACCCUGUCUUAAAGAACCAAAAAAGAAAAAAGAAAAAGAAAAAAGGAAAAGAAAAAAAAGAGAUUAUCCUAUAUUAUAUAAUGGGUCAGAGGCUAGCCUAGGCUACAUAAGACCAUGUCUUUCUUUCUUCCUUUCUUCCUCUCUUUCUUCCUUUCUUUCUUCCUUUUUCUUUCUUUCCUUCUUUUUUUCUUUCAAGGAAGGAGGAUAGAUAGAUCUGUUCACAGUACACAGCUGCUAUUAAUGGUGGUAGUAGUAGUAUAAGAAAGAAACAAGAAAGAUCUGCUUAUACUACAUAGCUGCUAGAAAGCAAGGAAGGAAAGAAGACAGACAGACAGAUGUGCUCAUAGUGUGCCGCUGCUGUUAAUGGGGGAUGGUAGUGUUUGGCGCCCAUGGCGCAUACUCAGAAACUGUGAAGAUCACCGUGAAAACCAGAGCUACAUGACUUGUUUCCUUUUGGAGAAAAAUCAUAGACUCCCAAUCAAGAGAAUUGUGUGGUGUCAAGCUUUGUUUUGUUUUCAGUACUGUGAUGUAGGCAAGGCCAUUACCUCUGAGAUGACACCCUUAGCCCUAAGGGUUUAGUUACUCAGGUCAGGGGCUAGAGAGAUGGCUCUGUGACCAAGAGCUCUUGAUGCUUGUAGCGAGGACCUGGGUUCAGUUCUCAGCUCCCACAUGGUUGGUGGCUCAAAACCACUUAUAACUCCAGUUCCAGGUGACCCAAGGCGCCUCUCUGGCCCCUGCACAUACUACAUGCAUCUGAUAUGCUGACAUGCUGCAGGCAACAUCUAUAUACACACAAAAUAAAAAUAAAUAUUUUUUUAAAAAAUUUCUGGCCAAUGAGCCCAUUUGGACAUAAAGGAUUCUAUUGUGGCUCCCGUCUAUGACCCCAGAACUUGGAGGCUGGCAUAAGAGGAUUGCACUAGUCUGAGGCAGGCCUGGUCUGUAUGAGUGAGUUCAGGCUAGCAAGGGCAACAGAGUGAGAUACUAGCUUU